This 420-nucleotide ribosomal RNA is filed under the name Adenomera sp. C ABGD cluster 49. RNAcentral describes it as "partial large subunit ribosomal RNA". It matches the Rfam family "Bacterial large subunit ribosomal RNA", at positions 1834 to 2457 of the family's 2925-position model. The record is from RNAcentral. Lineage: Eukaryota; Metazoa; Chordata; Amphibia; Anura; Leptodactylidae.
CUUGACUAAUAUAAGAGGUCCAGCCUGCCCAGUGACAUUGUUUAACGGCCGCGGUAUCCUAACCGUGCGAAGGUAGCGUAAUCACUUGUUCUUUAAAUGAGGACUAGUAUGAAAGGCACCACGAGAGUCAUACUGUCUCCUUUCUCUAAUCAGUGAAACUAAUCUCCCCGUGAAGAAGCGGGAAUAAUAAUAUAAGACGAGAAGACCCUAUGGAGCUUUAAACAAAAAAUACUUGCCUAUCUUUUUUAAAUUUCAGAAAAACACUUUAUCUUGGCAUUAUACUUUUAAGUUUUUGAUUGGGGUGAUCACGGAACAAAAAAUAACCUCCGCAAUGAAAGACACUUAUUCACUAAGUUAAGAGCUACAGCCCUACACAUCAAGAAAUUGACAACAAUUGACCCAAUAUAUUGAUCAAUGAAC